RNAcentral lists this long non-coding RNA (722 nucleotides) under Linum usitatissimum (flax). RNAcentral describes it as "long non-coding RNA (LUSI_LNC007725)". Lineage: Eukaryota; Viridiplantae; Streptophyta; Magnoliopsida; Malpighiales; Linaceae. The record is from RNAcentral.
UCUUCUUCUUUCUAAUUCUUCAACUUCCUUCCCACACUCCAUCACUCCAUGUACAAAACUUUACAUAUAGCUACGGCAACUCAACCUCCAGAGCCCGGAGAAGUACCCUGGGUCAUAAGCUUUGGCGACGACCUGAACCCGUAGUUACGCGCUCAAAUCCCAGAACCAGACACCAAGCUCCGAUCACACCAACUCCGUCCAGAUCCAGAUCCAAACCGCUUCAAAAUAGAAGCUGGAGUAGACUGAAUCCCGAAGCUGGUACUACUACUUACUACUACUACUACUAGCUACUGCUCCUGCUGCGAGCGAAACAGUUCAGUUUCAUGAUCAUCAGCUUUAUUUUUUGUGGACGGCAAGACAAGAGGGGCAAAACGAAGAUCAAGAGGAGAAAAGGACAGAAGACGAAGAAGACGAAGCAGCGGUUUUUUUGUUACUUUUUAAAAUAAUUUCUAUUUUUUUUAAUGUAAAUUAAAAUAUUAAUAUAUUUUAUGACGUGGAGCUUAUGAAUGACACAUAGACUGUCAUAUCAAAGGAGUUAAGUUUGACUGUUAAUUUAACGGUUAGAUUUGAAAAUCAUGCUAUUUUUUGUAUUUUGAAAAUUAUGUGUCAAAUUGAAUUCGAGGCUAUACGUUGUAUCUUAUUUGAUAAUUUUUUUUUAUAAAACAUACAUAUAGGAUAAGAUUCUUUAUCCACAAGAUCAAUGAUUCUCAACCCUAAUCAGG